UGGGGAAUUUUGGACAAUGGGCGAAAGCCUGAUCCAGCAAUGCCGCGUGUGUGAAGAAGGCCUUCGGGUUGUAAAGCACUUUUGUCCGGAAAGAAAUCCUUGGCUCUAAUACAGUCGGGGGAUGACGGUACCGGAAGAAUAAGCACCGGCUAACUACGUGCCAGCAGCCGCGGUAAUACGUAGGGUGCAAGCGUUAAUCGGAAUUACUGGGCGUAAAGCGUGCGCAGGCGGUUUGCUAAGACCGAUGUGAAAUCCCCGGGCUCAACCUGGGGAACUGCAUUGGUGACUGGCAGGCUAGAGUAUGGCAGAGGGGGGUAGAAUUCCACGUGUAGCAGUGAAAUGCGUAGAGAUGUGGAGGAAUACCGAUGGCGAAGGCAGCCCCCUGGGCCAAUACUGACGCUCAUGCACGAAAGCGUGGGGAGCAAACAGGAUUAGAUACCCUGGUAGUCCACGCCCUAAACGAUGUCAACUAGUUGUUGGGGAUUCAUUUCCUUAGUAACGUAGCUAACGCGUGAAGUUGACCGCCUGGGGAGUACGGUCGCAAGAUU
This 548-nucleotide ribosomal RNA is filed under the name uncultured bacterium. RNAcentral describes it as "partial 16S ribosomal RNA". It matches the Rfam family "Bacterial small subunit ribosomal RNA", at positions 355 to 895 of the family's 1533-position model. The record is from RNAcentral.